Molecule: ribosomal RNA, 433 nt
Filed under: uncultured bacterium
Lineage: Bacteria
Description: partial 16S ribosomal RNA
Rfam family: Bacterial small subunit ribosomal RNA
Source: RNAcentral
AACGAACGCUGGCGGCAUGCCUAACACAUGCAAGUCGAACGAGACCUUCGGGUCUAGUGGCGCACGGGUGCGUAACGCGUGGGAAUCUGCCCCUGGGUUCGGAAUAACAGUUAGAAAUGACUGCUAAUACCGGAUGAUGUCUUCGGACCAAAGAUUUAUCGCCCAGGGAUGAGCCCGCGUAGGAUUAGCUUGUUGGUGGGGUAAAGGCCUACCAAGGCGACGAUCCUUAGCUGGUCUGAGAGGAUGAUCAGCCACACUGGGACUGAGACACGGCCCAGACUCCUACGGGAGGCAGCAGUGGGGAAUAUUGGACAAUGGGCGAAAGCCUGAUCCAGCAAUGCCGCGUGAGUGAUGAAGGCCUUAGGGUUGUAAAGCUCUUUUACCCGGGAUGAUAAUGACAGUACCGGGAGAAUAAGCCCCGGCUAACUCCGUG